UAGUCUGGGAUACCACUUGGAAACAGAUGCUAAUACCGGAUAAGAAAGCGGAUCGCAUGAUCAGCUUUUAAAAGGCGGCGUAAGCUGUCGCUAUGGGAUGGCCCCGCGGUGCAUUAGCUAGUUGGUAAGGUAAAGGCUCACCAAGGCGAUGAUGCAUAGCCGAGUUGAGAGACUGAUCGGCCACAUUGGGACUGAGACACGGCCCAAACUCCUACGGGAGGCAGCAGCU
RNAcentral lists this ribosomal RNA (229 nucleotides) under uncultured Lactobacillus sp. RNAcentral describes it as "partial 16S ribosomal RNA". It matches the Rfam family "Bacterial small subunit ribosomal RNA", at positions 134 to 355 of the family's 1533-position model. The record is from RNAcentral. Lineage: Bacteria; Bacillati; Bacillota; Bacilli; Lactobacillales; Lactobacillaceae.